GUCUAUGGCCAUACCACCCUGAACAUGCCCGAUCUCGUAUGAUCUCGGGAAUUAAGCAAGGUCGGGCCUGGUUAGUACUUGGAGGGGAGAAAAUAAAUGCUUUAUAAAUGUUUGUAGGCUGGGCGCGAUGGCUC
Colobus angolensis palliatus is the source of this 134-nucleotide ribosomal RNA. NCBI's taxonomy places the organism in Eukaryota, Metazoa, Chordata, Mammalia, Primates, Cercopithecidae. The record is from Ensembl.